This 496-nucleotide ribosomal RNA is filed under the name uncultured bacterium. Its description in RNAcentral is "partial 16S ribosomal RNA". It matches the Rfam family "Bacterial small subunit ribosomal RNA", at positions 28 to 506 of the family's 1533-position model. The record is from RNAcentral.
GACGAACGCUGGCGGCGUGCCUAAUACAUGCAAGUUGAGCGCUGAAGGUUGGUACUUGUACCGACUGGAUGAGCAGCGAACGGGUGAGUAACGCGUGGGGAAUCUGCCUUUGAGCGGGGGACAACAUUUGGAAACGAAUGCUAAUACCGCAUAAAAACUUUAAACACAAGUUUUAAGUUUGAAAGAUGCAAUUGCAUCACUCAAAGAUGAUCCCGCGUUGUAUUAGCUAGUUGGUGAGGUAAAGGCUCACCAAGGCGAUGAUACAUAGCCGACCUGAGAGGGUGAUCGGCCACAUUGGGACUGAGACACGGCCCAAACUCCUACGGGAGGCAGCAGUAGGGAAUCUUCGGCAAUGGACGAAAGUCUGACCGAGCAACGCCGCGUGAGUGAAGAAGGUUUUCGGAUCGUAAAACUCUGUUGGUAGAGAAGAACGUUGGUGAGAGUGGAAAGCUCAUCAAGUGACGGUAACGACCCAGAAAGGGACGGCUAACUACGU